This 404-nucleotide ribosomal RNA is filed under the name uncultured Alphaproteobacteria bacterium. RNAcentral's name for it is "bacterial SSU rRNA". It matches the Rfam family "Bacterial small subunit ribosomal RNA", at positions 9 to 439 of the family's 1533-position model. The record is from RNAcentral. Lineage: Bacteria; Pseudomonadati; Pseudomonadota; Alphaproteobacteria.
GAGUUUGAUCAUGGCUCAGAACGAACGCUGGCGGCAGGCUUAACACAUGCAAGUCGAACGCGUGUAGCAAUACACGAGUGGCGCACGGGUGAGUAACGCGUGGAUAUCUGCCUUUUGGUUCGGAAUAACCCCGGGAAACUGGGGCUAAUACCGGAUGGUUCCUUCGGGAUAAAGAUUUAUCGCCAAAAGAUGAGUCCGCGUACGAUUAGCUAGUUGGUGAGGUAAUGGCUCACCAAGGCGACGAUCGUUAGCUGGUCUGAGAGGACGAUCAGCCACACUGGGACUGAGACACGGCCCAGACUCCUACGGGAGGCAGCAGUGGGGAAUAUUGGACAAUGGGGGCAACCCUGAUCCAGCCAUGCCGCGUGAGUGAUGAAGGCCUUCGGGUUGUAAAGCUCUUUUGG